This is a long non-coding RNA of Corticium candelabrum, 1481 nucleotides long. RefSeq lists it as uncharacterized. The transcript is spliced from 4 exons. The record is from RefSeq and is a predicted model, not a curated record. NCBI's taxonomy places the organism in Eukaryota, Metazoa, Porifera, Homoscleromorpha, Homosclerophorida, Plakinidae.
UCUCCAGAAACAUCUUCGGUAGAAACAGAAUCAUAUUCAGCACAUCAAAACCAAGAUGCACUCCAAGUUGUAUCUACUCAGCUUAUAGAGUCUGCUAUAUCUAGAUCUGCCGACAUAAGAACCUCCUCUCAAUCAGUUACUCUUCCCAUUACAAUUUCCCAGCAUGACAGUUUAACAAGCAUCAUUCCAUCAAGCAACUUUUUACCAACAACAACUUCCUCACAGAUCAACAGCUCAGUGACACUGUCAGCUACUUCUGGUCACAAUCCAAUGCAACAGAUCACAGUUGACUCAGAUGAUGACAUAGUGUCAUGUUAUGAUGCUGCCUAGCUCCUACGUCAUCACUGAACACGAACUUUGCAAGGGCCCCCUCUAUGCCUUGAAGUAUCCUGAGAAAACACAUUCUCCCAGGCUGUGGCAUUUUACAAAUAAAGCCUCUCAGAUACAAAUGCCCAGACCACUUCAAAUUCGUUUUGACGGUGAAGAUGGAGUUGAUGCUGGAGGAUUGAAAAAGGAGUUCUUUCAAGAGUUCUUCAAGCUUGUGUUUGCUCCUGAAAGAGGUCUAUUUGAAGGACGCCCAAGAAUGUUAUGGACAGUGCAUAAUAUCACAGCUUUCAGAACCAGAUUAUUCAAAAUAGUUGGUACAACACUGGCACAUUGCUUUGCACAUUGUGAAAUAGGCAUGCCUUUUCUGGCUGAGCCACUUGUCACAUACUUGUUGAGUGAAGAUGACUGCAUCCCCAGAUUACAAUAGAAGACAUGCGAGAAUAGGACAAAGUGCAUCGCACUUGAGAUGCAAUGAGCAAACACAAUAGCUGUAUUUCAGCAACUGUCAGUGAGACUAGAUGUCAUUGAUGCAGUCUCUGCAAGUGGAUGGAUGCAUAAUAUAUCGUUUGAGCAACGUGAGGCAAUUUUGCAAAGCCUUGUAGUGAAUGAGCUGGUGUUCAAGCGCAAAACAGCAAUUGAGCACCUCAGAGAAGGCCUUGCUUCAAUGAACAUUCUACAUCUCUUGCAGUCCAAAAGACAUGUACGAUGUAUCUUCUUGUGUUCCAAGAAACACACUUGACACUGGAGAAAAUGCAAAAAAUACUGAGUAUUAACAGGCCAGCGACAGAAGCACAGACAAGAGCUCAGAUAUUUUUCCAGCAAUUCUUAAGUAACGACAAAGAAAUUGUCGUCCGAAACGCCUUCAGAUCUUAAGAGGAAGGUCAAGCUUGAUAGACUCAUUUCCAACAUGGCAACCACACAGUUGUUCAACAGCUUGGCAACCACUACUCUAAUUAGCUAAAGAGAAGUAACGUUGGAUGGUGGUUGCGUUCUAGUUAUGUAAUAGAAAGAAGUAACGUUGGAUGGUGGUUGCGUUCUAGUUAUGUAAUAUUGGUUAACUAAUUGAGUCGUGUCGUGUUGCACUGUUGAUUUAUUUAGCUAAUUAGCCUUUGAGGUCUUUUUUAGUCAUGUUUCUAAUAGCUGUUAGAAUCAUA